UACUCCUAAGAUUUUUGUGUU
Non-coding RNA from Caenorhabditis elegans, 21 nucleotides. Lineage: Eukaryota; Metazoa; Nematoda; Chromadorea; Rhabditida; Rhabditidae. The record is from Ensembl.